UAGAGUAGUAUAUGUAGAGAACAUUGUAUUUAGAGUACUAUAUAGUAUAUGUAGAGAACAUUGUAUUUAGAGUACUGUGUAGUAUAUGUAGAUAGAACCUUCUAGCCCCAACCUCUGCUGGUGUUUGUGACGCCUUUCAUAAUAUGACCUUUCAGCUUUCUGCUCUACAGGGAAAAGCUCAUUGUAUGAAAGAGUCAGAAGAUGUAUUUAAAACCUGCAUGGAGGAACUGUUCUUAUUACGAAGGGUGUAUCCUGAAUGGAACCCUGUAUAGUGCACCACUUCUGGUCAAAUCUAGUGCACUAUAUAGUGUGUCACUUCUGAUCAAAACUAGUGCACUAUAUAGUGCGCCACUUCUGGUCAAAACUAGUGCACUAUAUAGUGUGCCACUUCUGGUCAAAACUAGUGCACUAUAUAGUGUGCCACUUCUGGUCAAAACUAGUGCACUAUAUAGUGUGCCACUUCUGGUCAAAACUAGUGCACUAUAUAGUGUGCCACUUCUGGUCAAAACUAGUGCACUAUAUAGUGUGCCACUAGGGACAGACACACCAAGGGCUAGGCAGGGUUGUGUAGUCUGUUAUUACAGAUGCUCAUCGUCUGUCUCUGCUUCUAACUGUUAUCCCGUCAGACACAGAUUAAACCCUAUUUCUGGAAUCUCUACUGAAAGUGCUUCUUAAUCUGUGUCUGGGAAACUUGUCUGUUAUGGGUUAGAAUGGAAUUGGCCUUCCUAUGAAUUGUCUUACCUGGGAAGGCUAUUUUGAAUCACAACCCGGCACAGCCAGAAGAGGACUGGCCACCCCUCAUACCCUGGUUCCUCUCUAGGUUUAUAAUCUCCACCCGGCACAGCCAGAAGAGGACUGGCCACCCCCUCAUAGCCUGGUUCCUCUCUAGGUUUCUUCCUAGGUUUUGGCCUUUCUAGGGAGUUUUUCCUAGCCACCGUGCUUCUACACCUGCAUUGCUUGCUGUUUGGGGUUUUAGGCUGGGGUUCUGUACAGCACUUUGAGAUAUCAGCUGAUGUAAGAAAGGCUUUAUAAAUCAAUUUGAUUUGAUUUGAACUGAAAGUACUGGUUCACAAAAUUGUACAAAGUAUUCAGAACCCAGUAAAAAUAAGUCCUGGGUCUGUGAUAUUAGUUCUACCCCCAUCCUUUACUUUAAAUAUUGACUUUGUUGCAUGUUAACAGCCAACCAAUCAAGCUUCAUUUGACCUAUACUGUAAUAAUAUGGUAUAUUACGGAGUAGUUGGGUACGUGGUGAGAUUUGUUGGAUUGAAAACACAAAAAAUGAUUUUAAAAAAUGAAACCAGAGAUUCUUGUUGGUACUGCAUUGAGUUUACUUGUUUAAAAUCACUGUCCGUCUCUGUUUGUGUCCCACAUGGACCCUAUUUCAUAUAGACCUGCGAUACUUUUGACCAGGGCACAUAAGACUUUGGUCAAAAGUAGUGUACUAUAUAGGGAAUUAGGCUUUGUCCCAAAUACACCACCUAUGUUUAUUGUUUAUCAUGUAACCAUAACAUGAUGAAAUCAAAUCUGCCCCUCAGACUGUGGUUGCUACACAUCACUUACAAUUCAAUGCUAAAUCAUCUCUGUAGUAUAUGUUAUAGUAAUUAGCAACAUCAACAAGAAUUUAGUGAGGUUUAACUAUUUCUCACUUAGUUGGAACUAAUGUUUGGGUGAGAAAUAUUUGGGGGAGGGAAACAUUUUUAUUUCUAAACAUAUUAAAAUAAUAGUAUAGUAUAUUUUAAAUGUCAGGGUACAUGCCAUUACAAAAACAAACAAAAACAUGUCAUAAACGGAAUGUAUUGCUUGACUGCUGGACACGUGAUACAACCAGAUGCUUCAAACCUUUUGCGUUCCAGCGGAAGUCAUUCGUCGUCAGUGGAGCUGUCCGCAACGAUCCGUUGCUAAAGGAAAGACGGGCUGAAACGUUUUGCAUAGUUAGAUUUCGGGUAUAUAAAUUGCAUAUACGAUGAUGAUGAUGUCACGCAAGCUACUUCGAACAGUUUCAGGCAGCGCUUGUGUUGUCCACUAUGAUGUGAUGCUGUGACCAACAUUGGCCUGGAUGCUUCCUACAUAGAAAAGGACGUUUUUAUUAAUUUAGUAGCCUAAGCUAAAUAAAAUGUAAAAAAUUGCACGGUUGUCUGUCACUUAUUAUUAAUGCUAUGCUAUUGCUAUUUUACGAUAUUAAAGGGCUGCUGUCAAAAAUAGCAACAUUUAGCUAAAUUGUGUCUCUUGACGUUCUGGUCAUUUGUCAACCUUGCCUUUGUUGUUUCUAUCAUCGCAGUGAUUUACGGUAAUUUCACGUUAAUUACAGUGCAUUCGGAAAGUGUUCAGACCUUUGACUUUUUCAACCCAAAAAAAUUAACAUUACAGCGUAUUUUAAAAUGGAGAAGGAAAAAAAAUCAUCAAUCUACACACAAUAUCCCACAAUGACAGCGAAAACAGCUUUGUAGAAAUGUUUGCACAUUUAUAAAAAACAAGUAUUCGG
This is a long non-coding RNA of Oncorhynchus kisutch (coho salmon), 2482 nucleotides long. The record is from Ensembl. NCBI's taxonomy places the organism in Eukaryota, Metazoa, Chordata, Actinopteri, Salmoniformes, Salmonidae.